UACAGAGGGUGCGAGCGUUAAUCGGAAUUACUGGGCGUAAAGCGUGCGUAGACGGUUAUUUAAGUCGGGUGUGAAAGCCCCGGGCUCAACCUGGGAAUUGCAUUCGAGACUGAAUAGCUAGGGUACGGUAGAGGGAAGCGGAAUUUCCGGUGUAGCGGUGAAAUGCGUAGAUAUCGAGAGGAACACCUGCGGCGAAGGCGGGUUGCUGGGCCGACACUGACGCUGAUGCGCGAAAGCCAGGGGAGCGAACGGG
Molecule: ribosomal RNA, 253 nt
Filed under: uncultured bacterium
Lineage: Bacteria
Description: partial 16S ribosomal RNA
Rfam family: Bacterial small subunit ribosomal RNA
Source: RNAcentral